RNAcentral lists this ribosomal RNA (430 nucleotides) under uncultured bacterium. Its description in RNAcentral is "bacterial SSU rRNA". It matches the Rfam family "Bacterial small subunit ribosomal RNA", at positions 8 to 423 of the family's 1533-position model. The record is from RNAcentral.
AGAGUUUGAUCCUGGCUCAGAACGAACGCUGGCGGCGUGCCUAACACAUGCAAGUCGAACGGAGUGAAGGAGCUUGCUCUUUCAUUUAGUGGCGCACGGGUGAGUAACGCGUAGAUAAUCUGCCUUGGACUCUGGGAUAACAUCUCGAAAGGGGUGCUAAUACCGGAUAAGCCCACGAUGGCGUAAGUCAUUGCGGGAAAAGGGGGCCUCUGAAUAUGCUCCUGAUUCAAGAUGAGUCUGCGUACCAUUAGCUAGUUGGUAGGGUAAGAGCCUACCAAGGCGACGAUGGUUAGCUGGUCUGAGAGGAUGAUCAGCCACACUGGAACUGAGACACGGUCCAGACUCCUACGGGAGGCAGCAGUGGGGAAUUUUGCGCAAUGGGGGAAACCCUGACGCAGCAACGCCGCGUGAGUGAUGAAGGCUUUCGGGU